Cyprinus carpio (common carp) is the source of this 1188-nucleotide long non-coding RNA. The record is from Ensembl. Lineage: Eukaryota; Metazoa; Chordata; Actinopteri; Cypriniformes; Cyprinidae.
CUAGAAUAAUCAUUCCAGCUGACUAGGUCAACAAUAGCAUUGUCUUUUUUUUUUUCUUUCAGAAAAGAAGAAAUGGUAUCAUAGGGAAAAUUAGAAUGAAAAGCGCAGUCUGAUCAGGCCGGUGAAAAUAAAGAGAUGAAUGUGGCAGAAAUGAAAUUAAAGGAGUAAAAAUGAGAUUAACGGUCAAAGGUGUCAAAACUUCAGUUAAUGAAAAAUAUCUUUCGACUUCUCUAAUUACUUGUCUCCUCAAGCAGGUAACGGCAGGUGAGAGAUUAAAUGAGAUUCCUGGCUUGAAUGGAUCCUUGUAGCACUCCUGAUAUUUCAGUCUUCUAGCAUUUUGGAAUGUUAGAAAAUUGUACAGUUUUUCCACAUUUAUGUAGAGUUGUAGGGCACAUUUGUAUAUUUUUCUUAAUCAUUUUGUAUUGUAUGUGUUUGUGUGAAUGUGUGUACGUGUCACUUUCUCUUGCUCUCUCCAUCUUUAGUGUGUGAAUUAUGCAUGUGGCAGUAGCCUGUCAGCACCGUCGCUGUGAAUUAACUGAGCACGUCGUAGCUUUCGUUAUAAAUCCCACUGCCUGGUUUUGUACCCAUUUUCCCAACAUUCUGUAUACCUGUGCGAUGACGGAUUAGCACGCAGCUCAGAUUAAUGUCACUGCCUGCACCAAGUUCACUAGCCAUGUGAAGCUAGUAGGUAGGGGGGUAGCUGUCUGAACCCCAGGGCCUUGGAUUGAGAGACCACGAUUUUUUUUCCCCUUCAUUUUUUGAGAGACAGGCUCACCCCUUCUGUAUGGUAAUCCUCUGGUGGGGUCACCACAGGCUAGGCGGCUGACUGUUCCCCCAUUACGGGCCCCAUUUGUAUAUCAGGUUGUAAUUACACUGCGCCUGCCCUCAGGCCUACAUUGACCGAUCUCACCUUUCAGAAAUAUACGAUUCAAACACAAUAUAAUUAUGGCUGUAUUAAAUGACUAAUGAAUUCACACGCUGCUAAGUUCACUCCUCCACCAUCAUUUGUAAAUAUUUCCACAUAAUUGUCUUAUAAUUUAUUAUUCCGAAGCCGAUAUGAAAUAAGCGAAGGUUUACAUCUUAAAGGCCUCCAUUUUUUCCCUCGUAGCCUCGUAACUCACUGACACAGACGCGAAAACAUCUUGUCCCAAAACCCUUCUGUAGUUACUGAAAUUUCCACGCUUAUCA